RNAcentral lists this ribosomal RNA (480 nucleotides) under uncultured bacterium. Its description in RNAcentral is "partial 16S ribosomal RNA". It matches the Rfam family "Bacterial small subunit ribosomal RNA", at positions 28 to 523 of the family's 1533-position model. The record is from RNAcentral.
GAUGAACGCUGGCGGCGUGCUUAACACAUGCAAGUCGAACGAUGAAGCCAGCUUGCUGGUGGAUUAGUGGCGAACGGGUGAGUAACACGUGAGUAACCUGCCCUUAACUCUGGGAUAAGCCUGGGAAACUGGGUCUAAUACCGGAUAUGACUCCUCAUCGCAUGGUGGGGGGUGGAAAGCUUUUGUGGUUUUGGAUGGACUCGCGGCCUAUCAGCUUGUUGGUGAGGUAAUGGCUCACCAAGGCGACGACGGGUAGCCGGCCUGAGAGGGUGACCGGCCACACUGGGACUGAGACACGGCCCAGACUCCUACGGGAGGCAGCAGUGGGGAAUAUUGCACAAUGGGCGGAAGCCUGAUGCAGCGACGCCGCGUGAGGGAUGACGGCCUUCGGGUUGUAAACCUCUUUCAGUAGGGAAGAAGCGUAAGUGACGGUACCUGCAGAAGAAGCGCCGGCUAACUACGUGCCAGCAGCCGCGGUAA